Neogale vison (American mink) is the source of this 679-nucleotide long non-coding RNA. RefSeq lists it as uncharacterized. Lineage: Eukaryota; Metazoa; Chordata; Mammalia; Carnivora; Mustelidae. The transcript has 3 exons. The record is from RefSeq and is a predicted model, not a curated record.
ACAUACAUUUUGCUGGCGUCAUCACAGGGAAAUGUAGUAAGGUUCUUUUACUGGGUCAAUUUCAAUUCCCCGAGGCAGACAAGACUUAACGAGGAUCUGUCACCCAACUUGGUCUUCCCAGCCACAAAGGGCAGACCCUGUGGGACCUUCCUCAUGCAGCUGAGCCACUGACUGAGAAAAUGUUCCUCACCACAAACCCUGCCAGAAAUUUCUCGGGUUUAUUCAAGCUUAUCUGUGUUCCGGAACAAUUUGGGGGAAAGAAAAUUGACUAGAAAUGCUCUAACAAGUUCCUGUUCGGAAAACAGCACCGAAAAAGCCCGGAGGAGGAUCUCAGGAGGCGGUGCUCACGCCUGGGUCAGUCCUAAGGAAGUAAUUGCUGUGGUGCUGGCAAGUUUAAUAAGCAGAGAGAAGCUGAAGAAAAACUGAGCAUUGCAAAAGAAAGAGAAAUAUUAAAUUUGAAUUAAGAAUUCAUCCUCCCCAACACUUUAUUAUGAAAACUUUCAAACAACAAGGCUCAAAGAAUGUCUCCAGCGAGCCCCUCCCCUGUACGACCACCACUGCCUCGGCUGUGCUGUUACCACGUGACUUUACGAGCUGUCUGGGAUCUCGUUCUCCCUCCGUCCUUCUCCAGGGCAGGUGGGGGGAGGGGAGCCGAAAGGGGCAGAGGGAGAAUCGUAAG